GACGAACGCUGGCGGCGUGCUUAACACAUGCAAGUCGAACGGUAAGGCCCUUCGGGGUACACGAGUGGCGAACGGGUGAGUAACACGUGGGUAAUCUGCCCUGCACUUCGGGAUAAGCCUGGGAAACUGGGUCUAAUACCGGAUAGGACCACUGCCUGCAUGGGUGGUGGUGGAAAGCUUUUGCGGUGUGGGAUGGGCCCGCGGCCUAUCAGCUUUUUGGUGGGGUGAUGGCCUACCAAGGCGACGACGGGUAGCCGGCCUGGGAGGGUGACCGGCCAAACUGGGACUGAGAUACGGCCCAGACUCCUACGGGAGGCAGCAGUGGGGAAUGUUGUACAAUGGGCGCAAGCCUGAUGCAGCGACGCCGCGUGGGGGAUGACGGCCUUCGGGUUGUAAACCUCUUUCAGCACCGACGAAGCGCAAGUGACGGUAGGUGCAGAAGAAGGACCGGCCAACUACGUGCCAGCCGCCGCCGUAA
This 478-nucleotide ribosomal RNA is filed under the name uncultured bacterium. RNAcentral's name for it is "partial 16S ribosomal RNA". It matches the Rfam family "Bacterial small subunit ribosomal RNA", at positions 28 to 523 of the family's 1533-position model. The record is from RNAcentral.